GGGGAUGUAGCUCAGAUGGGAGAGCGCCGCCCUUGCACGGCGGAGGCCAGGGGUUCGAAUCCCCUCAUCUCCA
Molecule: transfer RNA, 73 nt
Filed under: Anaerolineales bacterium
Lineage: Bacteria; Bacillati; Chloroflexota; Anaerolineae; Anaerolineales
Description: tRNA-Ala
Rfam family: tRNA
About the family: Transfer RNA (tRNA) molecules are approximately 80 nucleotides in length. Their secondary structure includes four short double-helical elements and three loops (D, anti-codon, and T loops).
Source: RNAcentral